CUAAUACCGCAUGACAUAUCGGAACCACAUGGUUUUGAUAUCAAAGAUUUUAUCGCUUGAAGAUGGACUCGCGUCCGAUUAGUUAGUUGGUGAGGUAACGGCUCACCAAGACCGCGAUCGGUAGCCGGACUGAGAGGUUGAACGGCCACAUUGGGACUGAGACACGGCCCAGACUCCUACGGGAGGCAGCAUG
RNAcentral lists this ribosomal RNA (193 nucleotides) under uncultured bacterium. RNAcentral's name for it is "partial 16S ribosomal RNA". It matches the Rfam family "Bacterial small subunit ribosomal RNA", at positions 163 to 353 of the family's 1533-position model. The record is from RNAcentral.